UACGUAGGGUGCAAGCGUUGUCCGGAAUUAUUGGGCGUAAAGAGCUCGUAGGCGGUUUGUCGCGUCGAAUGUGAAAACCCGGGGCUCAACUCCGGGCCUGCAUUCGAUACGGGCAGACUAGAGUUCGGUAGGGGAGACUGGAAUUCCUGGUGUAGCGGUGAAAUGCGCAGAUAUCAGGAGGAAUACCGGUGGCGAAGGCGGGUCUCUGGGCCGAUACUGACGCUGAGGAGCGAAAGCGUGGGGAGCGAACAGG
RNAcentral lists this ribosomal RNA (253 nucleotides) under uncultured bacterium. Its description in RNAcentral is "partial 16S ribosomal RNA". It matches the Rfam family "Bacterial small subunit ribosomal RNA", at positions 524 to 776 of the family's 1533-position model. The record is from RNAcentral.